This 497-nucleotide ribosomal RNA is filed under the name uncultured bacterium. RNAcentral's name for it is "partial 16S ribosomal RNA". It matches the Rfam family "Bacterial small subunit ribosomal RNA", at positions 28 to 507 of the family's 1533-position model. The record is from RNAcentral.
GAUGAACGCUGGCGGCGUGCCUAAUACAUGCAAGUCGAGCGAACAGAUGAGGAGCUUGCUCCUCUGACGUUAGCGGCGGACGGGUGAGUAACACGUGGAUAACCUACCUAUAAGACUGGGAUAACUUCGGGAAACCGGAGCUAAUACCGGAUAAUAUAUUGAACCGCAUGGUUCAAUAGUGAAAGACGGUCUGGCUGUCACUUAUAGAUGGAUCCGCGCCGCAUUAGCUAGUUGGUAAGGUAACGGCUUACCAAGGCAACGAUGCGUAGCCGACCUGAGAGGGUGAUCGGCCACACUGGAACUGAGACACGGUCCAGACUCCUACGGGAGGCAGCAGUAGGGAAUCUUCCGCAAUGGGCGAAAGCCUGACGGAGCAACGCCGCGUGAGUGAUGAAGGUCUUCGGAUCGUAAAACUCUGUUAUUAGGGAAGAACAAAUGUGUAAGUAACUGUGCACGUCUUGACGGUACCUAAUCAGAAAGCCACGGCUAACUACGUG